This 378-nucleotide unclassified non-coding RNA is filed under the name plant metagenome. RNAcentral describes it as "partial contains 5.8S ribosomal RNA, internal transcribed spacer 2, and large subunit ribosomal RNA". The stretch from base 1 to 105 matches the Rfam family "5.8S ribosomal RNA", at positions 50 to 154 of the family's 154-position model. The record is from RNAcentral.
GAAAUGCGAUAAGUAAUGUGAAUUGCAGAAUUCAGUGAAUCAUCGAAUCUUUGAACGCACCUUGCGCUCCUUGGUAUUCCUUGGAGCAUGCCUGUUUGAGUAUCAUGAAAUCUUCAAAGUAAAUCUUUUGUUAACUCAAUUGGUUUCUACUUUGGUAUUGGAGGUCUUUGCAGCUUCACACCUGCUCCUCUUUGUUCAUUAGCUGGAUGUCAGUGUUAUGCUUGGUUCCACUCGGCGUGAUAAGUUAUCUAUCGCUGAGGACACUGUAAAAGGUGGCCAAGGUAAAUGCAGAUGAACCGCUUCUAAUAGUCCAUUGACUUGGACAAUACUUUUAUGAUCUGAUCUCAAAUCAGAUAGGACUACCCGCUGAACUUAAGC